RNAcentral lists this non-coding RNA (188 nucleotides) under Candidatus Omnitrophota bacterium. RNAcentral describes it as "Candidatus Omnitrophica bacterium 6S RNA". It matches the Rfam family "6S / SsrS RNA". From Rfam's summary of the family: E. coli 6S RNA was the first non coding RNA to be sequenced, but its function was unknown until recently. It consists of 184 nucleotides that fold into an extended hairpin structure with a large single-stranded internal bulge. The record is from RNAcentral. Lineage: Bacteria; Pseudomonadati; Candidatus Omnitrophota.
AGGUCCCUGCCAUGCACGUGAUGGUUGGAAAAAUUUUGAGCCAACACCUCUAAAUUGGGAGCCCGCUUUUUAGAUGCGGACUGCAUGCCCCGCAAUACAUGGGGAAGCGCGAAACCUCUAAUAGGGCACCCACUUGGACCUUCGGGUUCAAAGCCUUUCCUACGCACACGGCAUGUAGCGGGGAUUUU